GACGAACGCUGGCGGCGUGCCUAACACAUGCAAGUCGAGCGAGUUGAUCCCUUCGGGGUGAAGCUAGCGGCGGACGGGUGAGUAACACGUGGGCAACCUGCCUCAUAGAGGGGAAUAGCCUUCCGAAAGGAAGAUUAAUACCGCAUAAGAUUGUAGCUUCGCAUGAAGCAGCAAUUAAAGGAGCAAUCCGCUAUGAGAUGGGCCCGCGGCGCAUUAGCUAGUUGGUGAGGUAACGGCUCACCAAGGCGACGAUGCGUAGCCGACCUGAGAGGGUGAUCGGCCACAUUGGGACUGAGACACGGCCCAGACUCCUACGGGAGGCAGCAGUGGGGAAUAUUGCACAAUGGGGGAAACCCUGAUGCAGCAAUGCCGCGUGAGUGAUGACGGCCUUCGGGUUGUAAAGCUCUGUCUUCGGGGACGAUAAUGACGGUACCCGAGGGGGAAGCCACGGCUAACUACGUGCCAGCCGCCGCGGUAA
Molecule: ribosomal RNA, 478 nt
Filed under: uncultured bacterium
Lineage: Bacteria
Description: partial 16S ribosomal RNA
Rfam family: Bacterial small subunit ribosomal RNA
Source: RNAcentral